This 2877-nucleotide ribosomal RNA is filed under the name Stenotrophomonas maltophilia. RNAcentral's name for it is "23S ribosomal RNA". It matches the Rfam family "Bacterial large subunit ribosomal RNA". Lineage: Bacteria; Pseudomonadati; Pseudomonadota; Gammaproteobacteria; Lysobacterales; Lysobacteraceae. The record is from RNAcentral.
UCAAGCGAAUAAGCGCACACGGUGGAUGCCUUGGCGGUCAGAGGCGAUGAAGGACGUGGCAGCCUGCGAAAAGUAUCGGGGAGCUGGCAACAAGCUUUGAUCCGGUAAUGUCCGAAUGGGGAAACCCACCCGCUUGCGGGUAUCCUGCAGUGAAUACAUAGCUGCUGGAAGCGAACCUGGUGAACUGAAAUAUCUAAGUAACCAGAGGAAAAGAAAUCAACCGAGAUUCCGUAAGUAGCGACGAGCGAACGCGGACUAGCCCUUAAGCUGAUUUGGUUCUAGGAAAACGCUCUGGAAAGAGCGGCCAUAGAAGGUGAUAGCCCUGUAUCUGAAAGGGCCAUUUCAGUGAAGACGAGUAGGGCGGGGCACGUGAAACCCUGUCUGAACAUGGGGGGACCAUCCUCCAAGGCUAAAUACUACUGACCGACCGAUAGUGAACCAGUACCGUGAGGGAAAGGCGAAAAGAACCCCGGAGAGGGGAGUGAAAUAGAUCCUGAAACCGUGUGCGUACAAGCAGUAGGAGCUCCGCAAGGAGUGACUGCGUACCUUUUGUAUAAUGGGUCAGCGACUUACUGUUCGUGGCAAGCUUAACCGUAUAGGGGAGGCGAAGGGAAACCGAGUCUGAUAAGGGCGCAUAGUCGCGGGCAGUAGACCCGAAACCGGGUGAUCUAGUCAUGGCCAGGGUGAAGGUGCCGUAACAGGUACUGGAGGCCCGAACCCACGUCUGUUGCAAAAGACGGGGAUGAGCUGUGAUUAGGAGUGAAAAGCUAAUCGAACCCGGAGAUAGCUGGUUCUCCUCGAAAGCUAUUUAGGUAGCGCCUCAUAUGUAUCCUCUCGGGGGUAGAGCACUGUUAUGGCUAGGGGGUCAUCGCGACUUACCAAACCAUUGCAAACUCCGAAUACCGAGACGGACUGUAUGGGAGACACACGGCGGGUGCUAACGUCCGUCGUGAAAAGGGAAACAACCCAGACCCACAGCUAAGGUCCCAAAUUUUGUGCUAAGUGGAAAACCAUGUGGAAAGGCACAGACAGCCAGGAGGUUGGCUUAGAAGCAGCCACCCUUUAAAGAAAGCGUAAUAGCUCACUGGUCGAGUCGGUCUGCGGGGAAGAUUUAACGGGGCUAAGCACAAAACCGAAGCUUGGGGUGCAUAACUUUGUUAUGCGCGGUAGAGGAGCGUUCCGUAAGCCGUUGAAGGUGGAUUGAGAAGUCUGCUGGAGGUAUCGGAAGUGCGAAUGCUGACAUGAGUAACGAUAAUGCGGGUGAAAAACCCGCACGCCGAAAGCCCAAGGUUUCCUUGCGCAACGUUAAUCGGCGCAGGGUGAGUCGGCCCCUAAGGCGAGGACGAAAGUCGUAGUCGAUGGAAAGCAGGUUAAUAUUCCUGCACCUCGCGUAAGUGCGAUGGAGGGACGGAGAAGGUUAGGUGUACCAGGCGUUGGUUGUCCUGGGGAAAGGCGGUAGGUUUGGAUCUUUGGCAAAUCCGGGAUCCUUUAAGACCGAGCACCGAGACGAGCCUUUAUGGCGAAGUCACUGAUACCACGCUUCCAGGAAAAGCUCCUAAGCUUCAGCUUACGCAGACCGUACCGUAAACCGACACAGGUGGGUAGGAUGAGAAUUCUCAGGCGCUUGAGAGAACUCGGGUGAAGGAACUAGGCAACAUGGCACCGUAACUUCGGGAGAAGGUGCACCCUUUUUGGUGGCUCGUGCGAGCUAUAGCUGAAGAGGGUCGCAGUAACCAGGCCGCUGCGACUGUUUAUCAAAAACACAGCACUCUGCAAACACGAAAGUGGACGUAUAGGGUGUGACGCCUGCCCGGUGCUGGAAGGUUAAUUGAUGGGGUCAGCCGCAAGGCGAAGCUCUUGAUCGAAGCCCCAGUAAACGGCGGCCGUAACUAUAACGGUCCUAAGGUAGCGAAAUUCCUUGUCGGGUAAGUUCCGACCUGCACGAAUGGCGUAACGACAGCGGCGCUGUCUCCACCCGAGACUCAGUGAAAUUGAAAUCGCUGUGAAGAUGCAGCGUUCCCGUGGCAAGACGGAAAGACCCCGUGAACCUUUACUAUAGCUUUACACUGAACGUUGAGUUCGUCUGUGUAGGAUAGGUGGGAGGCUAUGAAACUGUGGCGCUAGCUGCAGUGGAGCCAUCCUUGAAAUACCACCCUGUCGUGCUUGACGUUCUAACCUGGGCCCAUUAUCUGGGUCGGGGACCGUGUAUGGUGGGUAGUUUGACUGGGGCGGUCUCCUCCUAAAGAGUAACGGAGGAGCUCGAAGGUACGCUCAGCGCGGUCGGACAUCGCGCACUGUGUGCAAAGGCAUAAGCGUGCUUGACUGCAAGAUCGACGGAUCAAGCAGGUAGGAAACUAGGACUUAGUGAUCCGGUGGUUCUGUAUGGAAGGGCCAUCGCUCAACGGAUAAAAGGUACUCCGGGGAUAACAGGCUGAUACCGCCCAAGAGUUCAUAUCGACGGCGGUGUUUGGCACCUCGAUGUCGGCUCAUCACAUCCUGGGGCUGUAGUCGGUCCCAAGGGUAUGGCUGUUCGCCAUUUAAAGUGGUACGCGAGCUGGGUUCAGAACGUCGUGAGACAGUUCGGUCCCUAUCUGCCAUGGGCGUUGGAGAUUUGAGAGGGGCUGCUCCUAGUACGAGAGGACCGGAGUGGACGAACCUCUGGUGUUCCGGUUGUCACGCCAGUGGCAUUGCCGGGUAGCUAUGUUCGGAAGCGAUAACCGCUGAAAGCAUCUAAGCGGGAAGCGCGCCUCAAGAUGAGAUCUCCCGGGGCACAAGCCCCCUGAAGGAACCAUAUAGACUAUGUGGUUGAUAGGUCAGGUGUGUAAGUACAGCAAUGUAUUGAGCUAACUGAUACUAAUGAUCCGUGUGGCUUGACCA